UGGGUAUUAUUGCCCCCAUUGUGCUGAAAAAGAAACUGAUGCUUGGUCGAACGUUUUUUAAAUCUAUGAUUCAUGUGGAAAUUCCUGGUCAAUACGAAUACAUAAUACCUAAUUUUCUACUUCCUUUGAAGGUCACAAUGAAUAAACAAAAUCUGAUUCAGAGACUAUGCCAAGCCAGGUGAUAAGACAUCACCUUCAGAUGUGGGACCACUGCAGCUAUUAAAUCAGGAAUAUUUAGCUAUUAUUUGUAAUAAAUGUCAGCAGGGCUGAACUGAAGCCAGCAGGAAAUGUUCAGGGCAGAAAACACACUGACAUUCAUUCAUGCAAAUUUGUACCACGGGUAGAAUUAAUCAUAAAGAGGGAGGGUAGAGCAUACAAUGCAUUUAUAUUACUGGUUUGGCCAAUUCCCUUCUUCCUGAAUAUGAGAGUUAUAAUGUACAGAAAGCAAUCUGCUGACAGUCCCAUGUGAAGUGCAGGCAGCGAGAUUAACUUUCCCAAGCAGGCAUGUCUGGGUCUAUUGCAGACCAUCCCUCCUUCCCCACACUGUCCGUGGUCCUCUGAGGCAGCAUUGCAAUGUCCUUUUUCCUCUUUAAAAGAGAUCUAGAUUUAUCAUCCACAUAACUCUUCCCUCUUAAAAUUACAGGGACACUCUAAAAAACAUUCCCUGCAUACUACUGAGGGUGGGACCAGCUUACCCUAUUAUAAAUUAGAGUGCUUAUGUCACAUGGGGAAGAUGUGGCCUCAGGAACUAGGUUGUUGACUAUUAAGAAACUCAUUUACCAAAAACGAACAAAUUUUAAUCUUCCUCAGUCUCCCUUGGUGUAAAACGAGGCUAAACAACCCGUACAACUGAAUAAUUUAAUCUCCACAGAGAAGAUUGUAAUCACCAUGAUCAAACACAGCUCUCACUUACACUGAACGUCAAGGAGUAUAAUUUAAUUCUAUGAGUAAGUAAAGUUAACAGCAGAAAAGAAUUAGUGCAUUAAUUUUUUUUAGAAAGGUGAGAAAAAUACAGGAUGAAGGUAUAUCUUUAAAUUUUUCUCAUUUUCUUGUUACAUGAAAUUAUGAUUCACCAGGAAACAAAAACUACUGAAAGGAGUUGACAGAAAAAUUAUAGGUGACUUGAAAGAUACUAAUUAUUCUUGUGCUUUAGUCUUAUGAUUUUUUUUUUUUUGA
Molecule: long non-coding RNA, 1176 nt
Filed under: Homo sapiens (human)
Lineage: Eukaryota; Metazoa; Chordata; Mammalia; Primates; Hominidae
Description: HSALNT0092314
Source: RNAcentral